ACUGGAGAAGUACUUCGGAGCCAGCAAACGGCACAGCAGUUUGAGGGGGGCCACACCACCUACAGCUGGAGAAGGAAGAAAGGAUGUCACGCUUGAAUGGACACAGGUACUCACGUUUUUAUACGCUAGUCCCCAAGCAAUUGUGUGGUAGUGGCAGUGACAGCAGUGGCAACAAGGACUCAUAGAAGCCUAAAACUCUGAGAGAGGGGGAAACCUCCUCUCCUGUCAGAAGAGAUGUGGUCCCAAAGGGGGCUUUGGUUUUACAGGCAUGGAAGUACCAACAAAGAGGUGUUUGUGCAGAAGCUGUAGGAUUUCUUCUUCAAUCACCUUCAUCCAUGAAGAGGCCCAGAUGAUGCCCAAAGCAGGAAGAUGCCAGGCAAAAUGGUCACAUGUUCAGACUCUGGAGAUUUAGACAGUGUCAUUCUAAACAAGAUUCUUCUUAGAGUUUUGUCAGUUUGGGGUCUGAACAAAGAUAUGCUCAGAAUCGAAAGCACAGAUAUUCUUGGGUUUUUACAGUCACAAAUUAUAAUGAUAAUUCAUGUUUCAGGAAGCACCUCAAUUUCUCUCUUAGGUUGUGAAAUCCUUCGGUGCCUUCAGGCAAAAGAGGUCGACAUGAAUUAGUCUUGAUUGGUUUGGGACACUGAAAUGAUUCUGGGACAGCAGAGGAAUGCUUGGCACCAAUGUUUCCCAAAUUGAUGCCACAGAACAAUAAUCCCAAAAGCUAUUGAGAGAGGGGGAGGGAGCGAAAGAGGGAGAGGUAGGGAGAAGAGAAGGAAAUAUAGUCUGGAAAACUGGAAAACGCCACAUGUUCUAUUUUUCUCUUGGAGAUUCCCAAUGCAUAUUAAUAUAUUAAUGCCCUGAGAAAUUUCACAGAAAGAAUUCUAUUUGCCUCUAUUUAAUCUGAUUUCCCAAACUUAGUUGACAAUAGGUUGUUUUUCCCAUAUAACUCCAAAUAGUAAUAAUUCAGUUAAACUCACUUUGGUACUCGCUGCUCUACCGCAAACCCAGAGUGUGGACUUUGGUGGCUAAAGAUAGACUUGGCGUAUGCUAAUUAAUUCUUUCUUCUCCGGCUGGGUUCUUUGCCCACUCAGUUUAUCCCAAAAUUCAGGACAAGUUUUCCAAAGACAUAAAGUAGGCACUUGCUCACUUGCUUGAAUGUCAGAGACAGUAGAUUAACAAUAAUAAUCAUAGCAAAUGCAUACCUGGUACUCACUACGUGUCAGGUAUUUUUCCAAGCACUUUAUGUAUGUUAACCAGUUUAGUUGGCGUGACAACCCUUUGACUUAAGCACUAUUAUUAUCCCCAUUUUAUACAUGUGGAAACUGAGGCACAGAGCUACUUGCCCAAGGUCACACACAGACAACAAAUGGCUGAGCCGGGAUUCAAACUAGGCAGUCCGGAUCCAGAGUUCACAUUCUUGACCACAGUGUAUACUGCCUCUCAGAUGAGAUCCAUGCCCUGCUCCCUGAAAUGCCACGGCUAUUCGUCCGUUUCUUUGGCACUGUAAGUCUGUGAUCUUUCAGAACUCCACUGGAAAGCAGUGUCCUCUCAGUGAGCACUGCAAGGCCCUGUGUAGAGGCUGUCCUUUCUCUCUAGAAUGUUUUCACUACUCUUUCUUGUCCGGUAAACUCCUGGUCAUCUUUCAAGACCUAGCCCAAAUGUCACCUCACAGCCCGAUUCCCGGCCAAGAAGCUUUCGCAGAAACUCCGAAGAGCUGUCUGACCGCAGCUGUGGUACAGAUCUUGUCUGUAUUUUGCUGUGAUUGCUUUGCUUUGUAUGCAUGUUUAUUUUUUGUCACCAGCCUAUGACGUUCUCAAUUGCAGAACCUUUGUUUCAGGCACUGUGGUAGGGUAGGCACUGAAGGGUAGAAAGAUGCAUGAGAUGUGGUCCCCGACCUCAGAGAGCCCCCGAGCCUUUUACCACUGUUCUAGAUAGACACACCUGAUAUUUGACAAAGGCUGGAGAGCUGCAAGAAAAGGGUUUUGUGGGCACAGAGGACAGAACAAUUACUGCUGAUUAGAGAGAGGUGAUAUUUGAGCUGGGACUAAAUGAUGAGGAAUUUCAGUGGGAGAAUGAAUGAGUGAAGGAAUCCUUCGGGAAAACAGUUUUGUGAUAUUUUUAUGGCACAAGAGGGAAAGGAUUAGACUUGGAACCCGUACUGGCAGGGGCUGCAGUUGGCCCUGUGACUUCAGGCAAAUCACUUCAUUUUUCUGUGCUUCAGUUUAUCAAUCUGUAAAAUUGGAAUAAUAACCACUCAUUUCCCAGGAUGUUUUUUGAGAAUUAAGUAAAGUCACGUGUGGAAAAGUGCUUUGUGUUAAAUGCCAAAUGCCAUAAAGGUGUUUGGUAUAAUUAUGCUUCUUAAUUCCUCUUGUAUCUUGUCUCUUAAGAAUUCGGUAAGAUGGGAAACAGCGAUUGAGAACUUACUCUGUGGCAGGCACCAUUCUCUGUCUCUUCUGGGUACUAUUUCAUUUACCGUCCCAACAAUCCUAUAAGGCAGAUAUAUUAUUAUUGUGGUCAUUCUACAAAUGAGGAAAACAAGGCGCAGAGAACUUCAGUUGUCCUGCCCAGGGUCACACAGCUAGUAACUCCUGGGGUCCACAUUCAAACCCAAGUGUUAACACAGAGCCCCUGAUCAGAGACUAAAAAUGUAUUAAAGAUCCUCUCAGUCUGAGCCAGCUAUGACACAUCAAUCAGCUGAGAAUGGAGAGAUGCAACAGGUGACCCUCCUCUGAUGAGACAGAGAUCAAGAUCCCCUCUUUCACCUCCAUCAGCGGAUAAAUUGAACAUAUGGUUAGUUAUAAGAACCACAGAGCUCGCAUUUUUCCCCCAGACAUUUUCUGUUCUUUACUUAAACACUGAUCAGAAGAAAAACCAAGACACAAAAGUUAAACUGAUUCCUUUUGUGUGUGUGUAUGAGGAAGAUUGGCCCUAAGCUAACAUCUGUUGCCAAUCUUCCUCUUUUUGCUGAGGAAGAUUGUCACUGAGCUAACAUCUGUGCCAAUCUUCCUCCACUUUUUAUGUGGGACACUGCCACAGCAUGGCUUGAUGAGCCAUAUCUAGGUCUGCACCCAGGAUCCAAACCCGCAAACCCCAGGCCGCCAAAGCAGAGCCUGAAAACUUAACCACCAUGGCACCAGGCCGGCCACAGAGAUUCCAUUUUUAAAAAGUGGAAUAGAUGGGGGCUGGCCCCAUGGCCGAGUGGUUAAGUUCGCGCGCUCCGCUGCAGGCGGCCCAGUGUUUCGUUAGUUCGAACCCUGGGCGCGGACAUGGCACUGCUCAUCAGACCACGCUGAGGCAGCGUCCCACAUGCCACAACUAGAAGAACCCACAACGAAGAAUACACAACUAUGUACCGGGAGGCUUUGGGGAGAAAAAGGAAAAAAUAAAAAAUCUUAAAAAAAAAAAAAAAGGAAUAGAUGAACAUUCUCCUAGUGAAACCUAGCCUGACAACAUCAUUGUUAAGGAAUACAAAGCCAACAGCUGGAUAAAUCAUCAAAAUGAGGCCCAACAUUCGUUCAAAUCAAGUGGCAUUUAUCCAUAUUCUAAAAUGGCUCUCUAAGGUUUUUAUUCCAUUGGUAUGAGAGUUCCAAUAGAACCCUAAAGCGAUUAUAUAGAACACUAGGGCUAUUUAAUAGCUUCUAACUUAGCAAGCCAUGGUAAUUUAAAAGGGAGCGGAUGAGCUGCUGGGAGCAGGGAGAUUUCUGCUGAAGAAUACAAAUGUGUUCUCUGCUACACUGCGUCUGCCUCUUUCUGGGGAAAGGCAAAAUGCACACAGGAAUGUGAUGGAACUUUCCAGCUGGUGGUUUUGUGUUAUCAGAAGGCAAGUGUUUGUGAAAACGAAAAUUACUGAUAAUUAGGUGUGAAAGCCUGUAAGGGAGAAAAAUGGAGAAACAUUGCAGCGUCUUUAUUUAUACCAAAGGCUGAAGACUAUUGGUGGCAGUGUGAAUUGCUGCAAUCUUCUGGGAGGACGCUUAGCAAUGGGCUGGCACUUUGACCCAGCAAUUCCACUUCCAGGAAUCUGCUUUAUAGUAAUACUUGCACAUGUUCACAAAGGUCUGUGUACAAGGAUGUUCACCGUAGCAAGUGUUUGUAGGUAUGAAAAAUGGAAAUAAUCUAUAUCUAUCAAGAUAAAAAUAUUUAAACAAUAUUUAAACAGCAUAUCCACGUUUCAGAAAAGUUUGCUGCUAAUAAAUGGAAUGAGAUCUAUAUAUUCUGACAUGAAAAGGUGUCUCUGAUAUGUUAAGUGAAAAAAAGCAAAUUUCAAAAUAGUAUCUAUCACAUGAUUCAAUUUAAAAAUGUUUUCAGGGGCCAGCCCAGUGGUGCAGCAGUUAAGUUCCCACAUUCCACUUCGGUGGCCCAGGGUUCACCAGAUCGGAUCCUGGGUGCGGACAUGGCACCACAUGGCAAGCCAUGCUGUAGCAAGUGUCCCACAUACAAGGUGGAGGAGGAUUGGCACGGAUGUUAGCUCAGAGCCAGUCUUCCUCAGCAAAAAAAGAGGAAGUUUGGCAGACGUUAGCUCAGGGCUGAUCUUCCUCAAAAAAAAAAAAAAGGUAAAAAAAAAUGUAAAAGUGUUUUCAAUGUUAAUGUAGUCAUAGAAAAAUAUCUGGAGGUAUAUGUACCAAAGAUUACCAGCGGUUCCCUCUGGGGGAUGGUAUAGAUAUUUUCAUAAUGUACAUUUUUAUGAGCAUGGAUUACUUUCGCAAAGAGAGGGGAAAAAACAAAGAGUUGAAUUAUUUCCUCAAGGGAAGAAAGAAAAAGAAAAAGAAACCCGGCUGGUAGAGGUUUAUUCACUGUCUUUGGGUGAAAGGUUUCAGUGCAAUUCCACAGAGAGUGCAUUUCAGAUUCUGGCAGUCUCGGCAAGGAUGCGUUUAGUCAGAAUGGACCAAAAUGACUGUGCUCGCAUCGAGACACUGCGACGCACUGCGUCUCCCUCCUCUGUCCUUGUCCUGGUCUCUUGAUUGUCCUUUUGCCUGCUGCUGCUGCUCCUCAACCUUUGCUCAUGGACAAGAACCAGCUGAUUUCCCAGCCCCUUCUCUUGCCUCACAAGCUGCCCGUUGUAGAAGUCACCAAAACAUGGUGGUAAAGAGCUUGGCCUAUGGAGUUUGGGGGCCCUGGGUUCAAAUCCUGACUUCACCACUCUCCUGUGUAACUUUGGGAAGCUUGCUUCUCCUUUUAGGGCCUCUGUUUCCUCACAUGAAAAAUGAUGAUAAUCUUAGAGAACCUGCUUCAGAGGGUCUUUGGAAUGAUGAAAAUGGAUAAGUAUAGAAAGCGCUUGGAGGGGCGGCCCUGGGGCCGAGGGUUUAAGUUCAUGCGCUCUGCUUCAGGGGCCCGGGGUUUCGCGGUUCGGAUCCUGGGCAUGGACAGGGCACCGCUGAUCAGGCCAUGCUGAGGCGGCAUCCCACAUGCCACAACUAGAAGGACCCACAACUAAAAUACACCACUAUGUACUAGGGGGCUUUGGGGAGA
Molecule: long non-coding RNA, 5466 nt
Organism: Equus caballus (horse)
Lineage: Eukaryota; Metazoa; Chordata; Mammalia; Perissodactyla; Equidae
Source: Ensembl